UCUUCCCAUUGCACUCCACUUCCCAAUUCUCAUUACUGGCAAUAUGAUUAACGGUCCUGCUUUAAUAAUGUCCAGAAAGAGGGCCACUCUUCUCACCAUCAAAUCCAUUGCAGCUUUCUCUCAGGUAAACCCUUCUCUUUUUUUCCAUCAUCCCAAAGCCCUGAGUUCUUCAAAGAACUCUUUGGAUUCUAUCAAAACCCUAGCUUUUGUCAAACACAUCGGUACUGCUGCUGAAAGAACAGAUUUCCAAACAGAUCCUCAUAUUACAAAAGAUAACCAUAGGUUUGAAUUCCAACAUAACUCAAAUGGGUUUCAAGUAGAAAAUCCUGUAGAUUCUCAGCAAAGCCCAAAUGGAGUUUACGGAGAGAGCCCUAGAAAUGGGUUUUACAGAGAAAACCCUAGGCAGAAAGAUUUUCAGCAGAGUACAAUUGGGUUUUACAGAGAAAACCCUAGACAACAAGAAUUUCAGCAGAAUCCAAAUGGCUAUUAUGGAGAAAACCGUGCAGACCCCUGGCAAAACUCAAAUGGGUAUUAUGGAGAAACCACCAGGGAUUUUCAUCAAAACCCAAAUGGUUAUUACAGAGAAAACCCUAGAGAAAAUUUCCAGCAGAACACCCCGCAUGGGUUUUACCGGGAAAAUCCAUCAGAAGUUCAGCAGAAUUCAAAUGGGUUUUAUGAGCAGAAGCCUGCAGAGUUUCAGCAGAACCCAAAAGGGAAUUGGAGAGAGGACUUUCAGCAAAACCCAAAUGGAUUUCGGGGAGAAACGGGUGAGUCUCCUUUGGCGUGUGAUGGCAGACCUAGUGAAAAAGCUGUUGAAACAGAUGGAAGUGAAGGGUAUAAAGGCACUGUCAAUGAACUGGAUGAUUUUUGCAAGGAGGGAAAAGUGAAGGAAGCUGUCGAAGUUUUAGGUUUGUUAGAGCAACAAGGCAUUGUUGUGGAUUUACCAAGGUAUAUACAGUUGUUGCAGGCAUGUGGUGAUGCAAAAGCUCUAGAACAAGCAAAGGUUGUUCAUGAUCACAUCUCGAGAUCUAUGGUUCAAGUUGAAGUCUGGGUUUAUAACAAGAUCUUAGAGAUGUACUCCAAAUGCAGUUCGAUGGACAAUGCUUACUAUCUGUUUGAGAAAAUGCCUGAACGUAACUUUACAUCUUGGGACACCUUGAUAACGGGGUUUGCGAACAAUGGUCUUGGAGAGGAUGCUAUUGACAUGUUCAGCCGGUUCAAGCAGGCAGGGCUGAGGCCUGAUGGGCGUAUGUUUAUUGGGGUCUUUUCUGCAUGUAGUGUUCUGAAUGCAAUUGAUGAGGGAAUGCUGCAUUUUGAAUCGAUGAGCAAGGAUUAUAGUAUUGUCCCUGCCAUGGAGCAUUAUGUGAGUAUUGUGGAUAUGCUUGGGAAAUCGGGGUAUUUGGAUGAAGCCAUGGAGUUCAUCGAAAAGAUGCCUGUUGAUCCGACUGUUGAUGUUUGGGAAACAUUGAUGAACCUUAGCAGGGUCCACGGAAACAUGGAACUUGGCGAUCGCUGUGCUGAGUUUGUAGAAAACUUGGACUCAUCCAGGCUAACAGAACAAUCAAAGGCAGGUCUUUUGCCCAUUAAAGCUUCAGAUCUAGCAAAGGAGAAAGAGAAGAAGAAAUUGUCUGCACAGAACCUUCUAGAGGUCAGAAGUAGAGUGCAUGAGUACAGGGCGGGAGAUACUUCGCACCCUGAAAAAGACAAGAUUUAUGAACAAUUGAAAGGCUUGAGUGGGCAAAUGAGAGAGGCAGGGUAUGUUCCAGAUACAAGAUUUGUCUUGCAUGACAUAGACCAAGAAGCAAAGGAGGAAGCUUUGCUUUAUCACAGUGAGAGGCUUGCUAUUGCUUAUGGCCUCAUCAGCAGCCCAGCUCGUUCACCGAUUCGUAUAAUUAAGAAUCUUCGUAUUUGUGGUGAUUGCCACAGUGCGUUGAAGAUCAUAUCGAAGAUUGUUGGUCGGGAACUCAUUGUACGAGAUGCUAAGCGGUUUCACCAUUUCAAGGAUGGGCUCUGCUCUUGCAGGGAUUACUGGUAGAGAGAGAAGGUGCAAGCCAGUCUUUGGGGAUUGGUGCAACCAUUCCAGGUCUCGGUAAACUUACAGAAGGAAGUGCUACUACUACAGAACAUCAAUGCAAGAAGGGAUCUUUUGUCACCUACUGUAUUCUUGAGUGAAGCUCCACAAACUUUAAACUUGGAGAAAAAAAUCUUACUUCUGAAGGUGCUGAGAUCCAGUCGAUUGAUGUUGUGGCGGUUGAUGUACAGAGUACCAGUCCUGAAGUGCCGACUGUAACAUUUACUUGCAAAGGUUUGUUAACUCCUUCAGUGCCAUUAAGAUGAAGAGAGUAUGUUCCCCCACUUUUCUGUAUAUUGUUCAUACUAAAUUUUAUAGUGAGACCUCAUUUCAUGUGCUUUCUUAUUCACAACACCAUUUCAUAUUUGUGAUCUGACUUCUGUGGGAGGACAGAAAACUACAGGCGAAGUGCACACUCCAAUCUUUUUGAGCCUCCUAAUCAAACUAUAGAGCCUUUGGGGAACAGGAUGAACAGAACUUCUUUCCAAGCUUGGGUAGUGAUCACUCUGGUUCGAUUAUGGUUCCUGCACUCUUCUACCAAUGCAAUGAUUGUGGAAUUGAUGAAGACCAUUGAGCCACCUCACCAAGGAUGACAACCUGCCAAGGGGGAAAGCAUUGUGGUGAGCCAGUGGGAGGCCCUGUAUCUCAAGGUGAAUCAACCAUUCCUUCUGGCGCUGUAUGUGGCCUACCUUUAGUAGUGGUUUGUAAGCACUCUUCUAGAGGUGCUUCCUCUUCAAGUCUUCGUUCUUUGAAGCGGUUUAUAAGCACUCUUCUAGGGGUGCUUCCUCUUCAAGUCUUUGUUCUAGCUGAGUACAAGCAUCACCAUCUAUCCCGCUGGCAGAAAGAAGCUAGAAGAUGGAGCAAGCAUAUCUCACCGCGGUUUCCACCUAUUCAUUGAAAGUCUGGAAAGAAAUGAUUUGGGUGACUUGUGGAUGUGCAGGCACAUUGCUGACUUCCAGCUUAAGGACACGUAAGGUGGGUUUGAAUGUGGAAGCUAGCUGAAGAUG
Molecule: RNA transcript, 3078 nt
Organism: Magnolia sinica
Lineage: Eukaryota; Viridiplantae; Streptophyta; Magnoliopsida; Magnoliales; Magnoliaceae
Gene name: pentatricopeptide repeat-containing protein At4g32450, mitochondrial-like
Exons: 3
Source: RefSeq, a predicted model, not a curated record